Molecule: long non-coding RNA, 3421 nt
Organism: Clupea harengus (Atlantic herring)
Lineage: Eukaryota; Metazoa; Chordata; Actinopteri; Clupeiformes; Clupeidae
Source: Ensembl
GAGAGAAGGAGAGAGGGAGUGAGUGAGUGAGUGAGUGAGUGAGUGAGUGAGUGAGUGAGUGAGAUACUUGAGAGAAGUGGUAUUUUUUUUUUGUUUUUAACACUGUGACUAGACUCUAAAAGUUGAAGACGAGAGGGGGAGGAAUGGAGGAGGAGGACGAACGAAUGAAAGGAUGAAUGAACAUCGGACAGCUAAACGAGUGUAGCCUUGUCUUUUUAUACAGACUGGAUCACUGUGGUGUGUGUGUGUGUGUGUGUGUGAUUUUAUCUGUUAAUCACGUGUUUUUAGAAAUAAUGUGUGCUCACGUAAGACUGUGAAGGAACUUGCUCAAGGGGCAAAGAGGAUCAUGGGAGUUAUGAGGUCAUUUGCACCCUCUCAUUCAAAGCUGGGCCUUUAGAAUUCCCUUUCACAAAACCAAGAUGGCUGCCACUACAACAAUCACCUCAGGCAGCAUGGGUUACCUCACAUAGAAGCGUGUUCUGAGACGGAUCUAGCUACUGGAUCUGCGCUAGAUCACACACAAUAUGUUUCCCAAAACAAAGAUGGCUGCCACUACUACAGUACAGUGACCUCAGAUGGAAGCGUGUUCUAAAAUGGAAUCAUGGGGGCCGUGAGCUGAAGGUCCAUCAAAAGAUCUCAUAUCUGCUACCUGAAGCCCUUCCUCCGAGACCAGCUCCCUCCGAGACCAGCUUCCUCCGAGACCAGCUUCCUCCGAGACCAGCUUCCUCCUCGAGGUCCUCCGAGACCAGCUUCCUCCGAGACCAGCUUCCACCGAGACCAGCUUCCUCCGAGACCAACUCCCUCCGAGACCAGCUCCCUCUGAGACCAGCUUCCUCCGAGACCAGAUUCUGGGGGCCCACUGUCUGUCCUGGCUUCGGAGGCCUCUUCUCCACUUCUUAGACCUAGAACAGGUGUGAUAAAGUCACACGUCUUAGGAUUUAAAAAAAAAACAUGUAUACUUUUUUUUUCAUCAAUGUGUUUCUAUCCGUGUGCAGGAGUCUGGUGCAUAGACCAUUUGAGGGUUAGUUGUGCAGGGUCUGAUCAACGUGAGAUUUCACAUUUCAAUCCUUUCCACAGAUUUCUCCUUUCUAGUUUAGACAAUUUCAGGUUUCUACUUUAAAGCUGUGAUGUUUUUAAUGACAGAUUUCCUUUCUGAUGUUUGACAUAGACCUGGUUUGCCUUAAAAUGGUAGUUUAUAUCAAGAAAAAAACAAAUGUCAUUUCAUAGAAUCACAUCCUGUUUAUCGGCCAAUGGAACAGCAGCUGUGAGGGCCAGCUUUGAUGUUAUCCUCAUGACAUCAUAGUAGAGAGACUUUCAGUGAGUGGAACUUAAUGGAAUACUCUUUAUGACAUCACAAUGUAAUGACACAGAAGGUGGAAGAGAAAAGAACAGAAUGAGAACCCCACCGCUUCUACAAGCUAAGUCAAAUGAAAUGAACUUCUUAUCGAAGAAGCUCGAUGUUUUCAGAUGUCGUGCCAAGGGGAGGUUUCUGCUCAUACUCUCUCCAGAAUUGCAAACGUGGAUGUCGCUGUCCAUUGGAACACUAAUGGAAGACCAAUCCAACAAUCGCUAAGGACUUUGCAGAAUUUGCUCACACCUGAGAAGGACCUGGAGGAGUGAACUUUGUCACACUCACUCUCUCACACACACACACACACACACACACAGACACACACACACAGAGAGAGAGAGAGAGAGAGAAACCUUUAUUAUAUACACUGCGACUCCCUGUUUGACAGUGGGUAGGAUGGGUCCAGGUGAGAUCAUGCCUUAAUUAUGUAACCCCUCACUUCCCGAGGGGCCAUUUUGUUUUGGUUUGUUUAUUUUCAUUUUCAUUUCUUUGAUGUUUCUGAUAUUCUGUUAAGGGGCCGGGGGAGUCCUACUGUUCCCUUCGUUUCUGUUGCUAUACCAACCUGUGGAAGACAAAAGAUGGGUCCUACCCCCCUGUGUGUGUGUGUCUGUGUGUGUCUGUGUGUGUGUGUGUGUGUGUCUGUGUGUGUCUGUGUGUGUGCGUGUGUCUGUGUGUGUGUCUGUGUGUGUGUGUCUGUGUGUGUGUGUGUGUGUGUGUGUGUCUGUCUGUGUGUCUGUCUCUGUGUGUGUGUGUGUGUGUCUGUGUGUGUCUGUGUGUGUGUGUGUGUCUGUCUGUGUGUCUGUGUGUGUGUGUUUGUGUGUGUGUGUGUCUGUGUGUGUGCGUGUCUGUGUGUGUGAGUGUGUGUGUGUGUGUGUGUGUGUGUGUCUCCCCCUGCCUGUGACUGCGCCCGACCACUAUCACCAGUUCUUUGUGAACACCAGGCCAGACGAGCGUAAAUGAAGUGCUUCUGUACCCGUGUGUGUGUGUGUGUGUGUGUGUGUGUGUGUGUGUGUGUGUGUGCUUCUGUACCCGUGUACUGUUUAGUUUGAAUUAUUACUGUUGUCAGUUUCCUCCAUUUGCGUAAAGGACGUGUGUGUGUGUGUGUGUGUGAGUGAGUUUAGUCUUUGGUUUUAGUUUAAAAAGAAAAGAAAGGAAAACAUAUAUGUAUGUAUGUAUGUAUGUAUGUAUGUAUGUAUGUAUGUAUGUAUGUAUGUAUGUAUGUAUGUAUGUAUGUAUGUGUGUGUGUGAUCUCGUCCAUGUUAUGUAUGUAUGUGAUCUCGUCCAUGUUAUGUAUGUAUGUGAUCUCGUCCAUGUUGACUAAGGGCUCCUGUUUAAAGAGUUAGACUGAGCAGACCAGGGGAGGGUUUGUUUAUCAUUGGAGUGGUGCAGAGGCUAGAGUGACAUGAUAAACUUUUACAAGAAACAGCUGUGUGUGUGUGUGUUUAAUUGUUGUUCUUAUAUUUAGUAUUUUAGUUUUCCACAGUGGCAAGGGUGGGGUGGUGAAAAGAACAACAACAACAACAACAACAACAAACAAACAACAAACACAGUGAGGGGUUUUGUAGAACCGUUGUGGAAAUGAAGAUCAAGUGAAAAGAAAAGAUGGUUUAUGCUGUGACACUAGGGGGGGUGGAAGAACAGCACAGAACGUCCUGGUUCCAACACAGAACUUCCUGGUUCCAACACAGAACUUCCUGGUUCUUGGAGAAUUUCAGCACCAAAGAACACCUCAGGUUUUAAAGAAUCCAGGAAGAGCUUCAGAAUGCUCAAGAACCCAACCCAACGAACCUAAUGGUGGUUGCCAUGUUAUGGUUAUAGCAUUUAGCAGACGCUUUUGUCCAAAGCGACUUACAAAACAUUUAAAAAAGACAUUAGACAACAGAAUUUUUAAAGGGCAGCAAUAGAAAUAAACCUAAUGAAUGAUAAUUCACAAUUAGGCACCAAUUCAUGAUAUUAAUUAUAAUUACAAUACCAAAACUGUGACUAGAGUAGGCCUCAAGCAAAUUAGUUAAUUAGACACACAGGCCAUCACAUACGUAAGACACACACACACACACAGACACACAGGCC